RNAcentral lists this ribosomal RNA (470 nucleotides) under uncultured Parachlamydia sp. RNAcentral describes it as "bacterial SSU rRNA". It matches the Rfam family "Bacterial small subunit ribosomal RNA", at positions 335 to 797 of the family's 1533-position model. Lineage: Bacteria; Pseudomonadati; Chlamydiota; Chlamydiia; Parachlamydiales; Parachlamydiaceae. The record is from RNAcentral.
UGUCCUACGGGAGGCUGCAGUCGAGAAUCAUUCGCAAUGGGCGAAAGCCUGACGAUGCGACGCCGUGUGAGCGAUGAAGGCCUUAGGGUCGUAAAGCUCUUUCGCCUGGGAGCAAGAGAAGCUGACUAAUAUUCGGCUAAUUUGAGAGUACCAGGUAAAGAAGCACCGGCUAACUCCGUGCCAGCAGCUGCGGUAAUACGGAGGGUGCAAGCAUUAAUCGGAUUUAUUGGGCGUAAAGGGCGCGUAGGCGGGAACAUAAGUCAGAUGUGAAAUCCUGGAGCUCAACUCCAGAACAGCAUUUGAAACUAUAUUUCUUGAGGGUAGGCGGAGAAAACGGAAUUCCACAUGUAGCGGUGAAAUGCGUAGAUAUGUGGAAGAACAUCGGUGGCGAAGGCGGUUUUCUAGCUUAUUCCUGACGCUGAGGCGCGAAAGCAAGGGGAGCAAACAGGAUUAGAUACCCGUGUAGUCGG